AUAGGGGAGCCGGAGGGAAACCGAGUCUUAAUUGGGCGUUAAGUUGCAGGGUAUAGACCCGAAACCCGGUGAUCUAGCCAUGGGCAGGUUGAAGGUUGGGUAACACUAACUGGAGGACCGAACCGACUAAUGUUGAAAAAUUAGCGGAUGACCUGUGGCUGGGGGUGAAAGGCCAAUCAAACCGGGAGAUAGCUGGUUCUCCCCGAAAGCUAUUUAGGUAGCGCCUCGUGAAUUCAUCUCCGGGGGUAGAGCACUGUUUCGGCUAGGGGGGCAUCCCGGCUUACCAACCCGAUGCAAACUGCGAAUACCGGAGAAUGUUAUCACGGGAGACACACGGCGGGUGCUAACGUCCGUCGUGAAGAGGGAAACAACCCAGACCGCCAGCUAAGGUCCCAAAGUCAUGGUUAAGUGGGAAACGAUGUGGGAAGGCCCAGACAGCCAGGAUGUUGGCUUAGAAGCAGCCAUCAUUUAAAGAAAGCGUAAUAGCUCACUGGUCGAGUCGGCCUGCGCGGAAGAUGUAACGGGGCUAAACCAUGCACCGAAGCUGCGGCAGCGAACGUAUCACCCAAGACAACUUUACGGAGUUGACGAUUGACGGAGCGAAGCGACGUCAAAGCGUUCAUUAAAGUCGAGUUGGCUUAGGGAUACGUUCGUUGGGUAGGGGAGCGUUCUGUAAGCCUGUGAAGGUGUGUCGUGAGGCAUGCUGGAGGUAUCAGAAGUGCGAAUGCUGACAUAAGUAACGAUAAAGCGGGUGAAAAGCCCGCUCGCCGGAAGACCAAGGGUUCCUGUCCAACGUUAAUCGGGGCAGGGUGAGUCGACCCCUAAGGCGAGGCCGAAAGGCGUAGUCGAUGGGAAACGGGUUAAUAUUCCCGUACUUGGUGUUACUGCGAAGGGGGGACGGAGAAGGCUAUGUUGGCCGGGCGACGGUUGUCCCGGUUUAAGCGUGUAGGUGUGUGUUCCAGGUAAAUCCGGUUCACUUUAACACUGAGGCGUGACGACGAGGCACUACGGUGCUGAAGCAACAAAUGCCCUGCUUCCAGGAAAA
This 1045-nucleotide ribosomal RNA is filed under the name Salmonella enterica subsp. enterica serovar Typhimurium. Its description in RNAcentral is "partial 23S ribosomal RNA". It matches the Rfam family "Bacterial large subunit ribosomal RNA", at positions 657 to 1616 of the family's 2925-position model. The record is from RNAcentral. Lineage: Bacteria; Pseudomonadati; Pseudomonadota; Gammaproteobacteria; Enterobacterales; Enterobacteriaceae.